Non-coding RNA from Procambarus clarkii (red swamp crayfish), 402 nucleotides. NCBI's taxonomy places the organism in Eukaryota, Metazoa, Arthropoda, Malacostraca, Decapoda, Cambaridae. The record is from RefSeq and is a predicted model, not a curated record.
GAACACCGACUUUCUCAAGAUACAACUGUGACAGCACAUCAGUGUCUACUUACUGCUGAAGCAAGUACCUUCAUCAGGGUUCCCAAAGAUCAUAUCUUAGAAGGGUCGAAGACGUCCAUUAUUUUGAAGCCAUCAAAUAGAAAAGAAGAAAGAAAUAAUUUGAAGAUAGUCAAGAAGGAAGAUGUAUCUGUUGGAAGAGGGCAAGUCAUGAUGGUUCAGAAGAAAAUAACGCACAAUUUGUCUGAUAGCAGAUAAUAAACUAUUUUUUGAUAAUGUAAUUGAGUCAGAGGUGACUCCCAUCAAUCUUACUUCCUUUACAGAACAAUAUAAUUUCUAUGAAAAAAUUCCUAAGUAUUUAUGUAACAUAUAUGAUAUAUUUUUUUAAUAAAAUCAAUAAACUUG